CUACGGGGCGCAGCAGUGGGGAAUAUUGCACAAUGGGCGCAAGCCUGAUGCAGCCAUGCCGCGUGUAUGAAGAAGGCCUUCGGGUUGUAAAGUACUUUCAGCGGGGAGGAAGGAAGUAAAGUUAAUACCUUUGCUCAUUGACGUUACCCGCAGAAGAAGCACCGGCUAACUCCGUGCCAGCAGCCGCGGUAAUACGGAGGGGUGCAAGCGUUAAUCGGAAUUACUGGGCGUAAAGCGCACGCAGGCGGUUUGUUAAGUCAGAUGUGAAAUCCCCGGGCUCAACCUGGGAACUGCAUCUGAUACUGGCAAGCUUGAGUCUCGUAGAGGGGGGUAGAAUUCCAGGUGUAGCGGUGAAAUGCGUAGAGAUCUGGAGGAAUACCGGUGGCGAAGGCGGCCCCCUGGACGAAGACUGACGCUCAGGUGCGAAAGCGUGGGGAGCAAACAGGAUUAGAUACCCUCGUAGUC
RNAcentral lists this ribosomal RNA (465 nucleotides) under uncultured bacterium. Its description in RNAcentral is "partial 16S ribosomal RNA". It matches the Rfam family "Bacterial small subunit ribosomal RNA", at positions 339 to 795 of the family's 1533-position model. The record is from RNAcentral.